Long non-coding RNA from Clupea harengus (Atlantic herring), 853 nucleotides. The record is from Ensembl. Lineage: Eukaryota; Metazoa; Chordata; Actinopteri; Clupeiformes; Clupeidae.
CACCAAGUUUGUGCUUUGUGUGCAGAGUCCCAAAAUGGCAGGGGUCAACAAACGUCUCUUCUAUGGAGUAAACAUCCUUUUGACAAUGGUGGCUGGCUUGAUAGCUGCAUUCAUUAUUCUGACGCAUGUCUACACCCGACCUAACAAUCAGGACCAGAACCGUAUCUGGGAUUUCGUAGAGGCUCCACUCUUGCUCAGGGUGACAGGCAUCUGUGUGGUUGCUACUCUUGGUAUCUAUGGUGCCAGCAAAGACAAGAAGUGGCCCCUGAUAGCGUAUAUUACAGCCAAUGUGAUUGGUGUGAUCAUGUUUCUGAUUCAAGGGACGCUGUUUGUCAAGGCAAAAACACUGGUGAGCUCACACUCGAGGCCUGGCACGCUGUCUAGCCCUCUCCUCCAGGGAACUCUGGCUGUAGAUUGUAUAUUAGCAAUCAAUUUUGUACCUGCCGCUUUGGGGUUCAUCGGGAUUAUCCUGGCAGCCAUGAUCAUGCAUCAGCUCCACAGCCGGCAGCCUGCCAUGACAGAUGUUGAGGGUAAACCCCCAGGAUACUCACAGAUGUGCCCAAUGAGCAGCAAGUCAGCAGAGAGCUGGACAUACAGGAUUCUCCCAAAUCACCACACAGCUAAUGACACAUAUUAAAGAAAUACACAUGACUAACAAUUAAGUCAAAAUGUCUGUGAUGCAUCUGAAAAAUAUUUGCCUCUCUCUCUCACACAACAAACACACACACACACACAUAAUGGCACAUAUUAAAGAAAUUCAUAUGAAUAAGAAUACGCCUGUGUGAGAUUUAUUUGAACAAGUCUCGAUCUCUCUUCUCUCACUCUCUUUCUUUCUCAAACAAGCACACACACA